AGGACGAACGCUUGCGACGUGCCUAAGAAAUGCAAGUCGAACGGACCACCAGCAAUGGUGGUUAGUGGCGAACGGUCGCGUAACACGUUGGCAACCUGCCCUGAAGCGGGGGACAACAAUUUGAAAGAGUUGCUAAUACCGCAUGUGGAUCGUGGUGGCAUCACCGAGGAUCCAAAGCCUUGUAGUAAUACGUGGCACUUCAGGAUGGGCCCGCGGCCUAUCAGCUAGGUUGGGGGGUAACGGCCCACCAAGGCUUCGACGGGUAGCUGGUCUGAGAGGACGAUCAGCCGGAUUGGGACUGAGAUACGGCCCAGACUCCUACGGGGGGCAGCAAUUAGGAAUCUUGCACAAUGGGCGAAAGCCUGAUGCAGCGACGUCGCGUGGGGGACGAAAUCUUUCGGGAUGUAAACCCCUUUUGAGUGGGAAGAACAAAUGACGGUACCACUCGAAUAACGCCCGGCUAACUACGCGCCAGCAGCCGC
This 482-nucleotide ribosomal RNA is filed under the name uncultured bacterium. RNAcentral describes it as "SSU rRNA". It matches the Rfam family "Bacterial small subunit ribosomal RNA", at positions 26 to 518 of the family's 1533-position model. The record is from RNAcentral.